AUGGAAAAUGAUUAUUUGCGGCAAAGUUCGAACCGCUUCCUGAACCAGUCACGUGGUACAGCCGGGCAGCGAGGCUUCGGACGUCAUCAUUUUCAGCUCCUCCCAUAAAUGAAGCAAGCCUCGAUACGCACUUCGCGGAAACGCCCCCUCCAUUACUCGAUACACGCUUCGAAGCCUCGAUACAGAACGUCACAUCACUACUUAGGUGGGAAACAUUGCUCCCGUGAGAGCGGUAUAGUGGACUUCAUCGCCACUGACCCACAUUUAUUAGGGUGUGACACGAACUUGUGGACAGAGUACCGAGCUGCUGCUUUGCCAGGUGGAUUUCUGGCUGCGGGCAAAGGACCCGACACUUCAGUGUGUUUUAAUUUGUUUUAAACUGGUGUAAGUCGACAGACUGACUGCUGCGACUGUCGAUUGUGGGUUUUUUUUUUUUUUUCUGUAUCAGUAGGCACCACAGAUAUUGAUUCUUUUAGUAUUCUAACUCCUUAUUUUAUAUUUAUAUAUAAAAUUAGUCGCAGACGGUGAAGGCGCUGCAGGGAAAACAAAUCCUUUUUUGUCUCCCGCUUUUGCAUGCACAGCGGUGGGCCUGAGUGAAGACGGCACCGAAGAUUUGCCUUCUUAUAGUGUUUUACCCAUGUGGGGUCAUGUGUGAGUUGCCGUCCAUUCUUAACCUGUGUGCUAUGUCGAUUUGUUUUUAAACGGUUCCCCGCAGCGCUUGUCCUGUCUCACGGGCAAUCGUACAGUUUUAUAGUUUCUAAUAAGGUAAAGUUUUUAAUUGUUUUUAGGUGCCGCUGUUAUACCGUUUCUUUUAUUUUGUACUAAAAAUUAAACUCUUUUAAACUGACUGUGCGCCUACGGCUCUGUCCUAUUUUAAAUAGGUACCUAUACCACGGGUCACAAUUAUUUCUACCUGUGAGUUUGGUUUCACUUCUAACAGAUAUUCUGCACACAUAUAAUCUAUAGCAAGUUUCUGUGUCCAGUUACAGCUUACUAAAUGCCAUAAUUUAUAAUCUAAUGAACUCUAAAGCAGGAUUCUACCUUAAAAUUCAACUCUCUCUUUAGAAAGUGUCAUUUGGUUUGGGUUAUGAAACCUGCUCUGUAAAGAGGACCGGGACGAAGAAGGUGUACUUUAUUGGUCCCCGUGGGGAAAAUCCCUCUCUGCAUUUAACCCAUUCACUCAGUGAAGCAGUGCAGCCACUGGGCGCCCGGGGAGCAGUGUGUAGGGACGGUACCUUGCUCAGGGGUACAUCAGGGUAGCUGUUCAGGGGAAUCGAACCCCCGACCUUCCGAUCAUGGGGCCACCUCUCUACCUACUGAGCUAUCCCUGCUCCCUUUUUUUUUUUUUUUUUUUUUUUUCUUUUUAAGAAGAAGACGUGUCCAUUAAAAUAACAUUAAUAAUAAACUGUAUAGUAAAAACAUGCACUAGUAUUCAUUCACCAACCACUUCAUUUCGUUUUAUUUGAAUUCAUGAUGAAGUUAUUAUUAUUGAUUAUUAUUAUUUGAUCACUAUUUUGUAAUUUGAUUUUCUGAGUCGUUUAGUAUCUUGUUUCGGAGGCUUCUUAGUAUAAUGUUAAAAUAUUAAAUGUUACAGUUACCACCAACAUCAGGCCCUGUCAUAUUUGUUACUGUUACAGGAAAAAUGAUUCUAUGUUUCUUUACCUUCUUUUAAAUGUGCAAGCAUGCCCUUUUGUCUAUGGUUAGAUUCGUUUAGAAUUAUCUUUUUAGACUUUCUCAGCAAAGACAUACUGUUUUGGGACAUAUUGUUUUAGAUUGUUUUAUCUCUCACAGCUUUCUCCCAGCUCUCUGCUGACGAGACUAGCGCCACAUAUGGAGUUGUUUAUUUUAUUUGUUUUGUAUUUUCUUAUCCUGUUCUCACUGUGUUUCCUAUAAAAAAGUGCCAAGCCUCUGUACACGACGUGAGUUGUUCUGAACAGCUCACCGGUGCGCACGUUAAAGCAUAAAAAGUAACCUUGUCUCAUUGUGUCUUUAUUUCUCCUGGGUCUUUUACAGAGUUUUCCCCCAACAG
Molecule: long non-coding RNA, 2029 nt
Organism: Astatotilapia calliptera (eastern happy)
Lineage: Eukaryota; Metazoa; Chordata; Actinopteri; Cichliformes; Cichlidae
Source: Ensembl